GAGAAAGGCAGGUAGCAUCCAUUCAACUCUGUGCUGGAUUCUGCCCUAGGCCUUUCUGACUGACUCUUCCAAGCUGCUUGGGGUUGAUUCCAAGCUUCUGGCAAGUUUCUCUGGAGCAUUUUAUUUUUCCUUGGGUGUGUGAAUGGAAGUGUUUUGUAUUUAACAUCACUAUAUUGUUUCCCAUCAGAUGUUCUAAUGUUAAUAAAUCCACAUCCACUGCAUCCCA
RNAcentral lists this long non-coding RNA (226 nucleotides) under Homo sapiens (human). RNAcentral's name for it is "HSALNT0222486". Lineage: Eukaryota; Metazoa; Chordata; Mammalia; Primates; Hominidae. The record is from RNAcentral.